Long non-coding RNA from Marmota monax (woodchuck), 3286 nucleotides. RefSeq lists it as uncharacterized. Lineage: Eukaryota; Metazoa; Chordata; Mammalia; Rodentia; Sciuridae. The transcript has 3 exons. The record is from RefSeq and is a predicted model, not a curated record.
UGUAGACAUUACAUUUCUUUUUUUAAAUAAGUAUUUUUAAACUUUGGAAAAAAUAAUACAUGAAUAUGGUUAAAAAGAAUUCAAGGAAAAAAUUCAAAGCAAAAUGCCUUCUUCUCUCCGUCCUCCUCUUUUCUCAGGGGCAGCCUCUGGGAACCAGCUGGUGGGUCUCCUUCCGUGGUCACAACGCCCAAGACACAGGUCGUCUGUAACCUGAGUAAAACCUGGCUUCCUGUUCUUGCCUGAGCACAGUGACAUGGCCAGAGGAAAUGACCUGGCUCCACUUCCAAACUGGCCUAGUCUCCCCGGGUCUCCGUGAAGGUCCCCUGAGAGCGCCAAGGACAGCGUGCAGCUCAUGUCCUGCUGGACAACAUGGGUGCUUGCAGACCCUGGCUGCUCAUGGUCCCGGGGCUCUUCAGGCAAGAGCAGCCCCACGCCCCGAGGUCCAGGGGUCUGGUUAGAAGGGCACAGUGCCGGUAGCUGCAGCCUGUAGCAGCUGCUCUGAAUCCUAGGUGCCAGCUGUGAGGACCUCCUGACUCCUGAAGACGGGUUCCUCUGACACAGACAGGGCUUCAGCUGCUGGGUGUCCCUAAAUGAUGAAAAUCGCCUUCUGAGAUACACUCCGCAAACUCCUCAAAAAUGCCGUCCCUCGGGUGUCUCCAAAGUCUCACUCUCUCUUCUAGGUUCCCAUCAUGCUCUGUCCCCUGUGAAAUGCCCUUCCUCCCCAGGAGGUGGUGAAGAAACCCGGCUGUUGGGUUUAAUGAUUCUGUCCCCGCCAUGUAUACACAUGAGAAGGACCAAGACAUGCGUGUUUUCCGUGAGUGCACAAUGGCUGGCCCCUUGCUCUGAAGGUCGAUAGGAGCCAAGUCCAUCCUGCACACCAGCACUCUGCCUUCUUGUCUUGAUGGCUGACAGUGAACAGACAGUGACUUCUCGAGAACGUCUUCUCCCGUGGGCUUUAGGAACUCCAACAGUGCUGUGUCCUCUCACUGUGUAAGAAGGGAUAUUGCUCAGCCCAAUUGGAGAAGAGUUCCUGUCCCUGGCACCUUAGUGGGAGGCCUGGUGGGCUGGGUAGCCUCCCAGGGGCUGCUUCCUGCCGAGUCCCGCGUGCCUCAUGGGUGGACGUGCAGAAUGAGGCUUGGCAAGAGAUCUGUCAUGAGAAAUGUCCAACAAACAGGAACCAUGUCCCUAGGGCUCUCCACGUCCUAUGCCGCUGUGACUAGCCAUUCCUGGGAGCUGGGAGCCUUGGUGGAACCCACAAAUGGCUAAAUUCGAGGAAACGGUGCUGGGAACUUAACAGUGUGGCACAAUAUCUUUUAGCCACUUAAAAAAAGACUGAGCAAUUCAAAUCACAUUGCUAGUGACAGGCUUGGAGGUCAGUCCUUUUGCUACUGGACUGGAGAGAAGGUGUUUGUCCUCUGAGCUCCCAGCACCCACUCACCUUCCUCCUGGUGAAUUCCCUGUUCCAGGUCAGAAGACUUGGGCUCUGCUGGACUUGGUGCGGCGUGAGGCUGGAGCCAGAGAAGCAUGGCCCACGCCCACACAUUCCAGAGACACCUGACUCACACCAGCCAGUUUCUGUGGCUGGACUGGAGUGGCAGAGCUCAUGUUGCUAGGGACCAGCAAGCCUGGACUUGGCCUCUGGCUUCUGCAGCAACCGGGGCAGCAACUGUAACCACAGGAGCCACUUCCCAGGUCCUUGGGGCCUGCUGUGCACACCCCUCUGCCUUGGGCCACUGCAAGACCUGCUCUGCACACCCCCCUGCCUUGGGCCACCAUGGGGCCUGCUGUGCACACCCCCUGCCUUGGGCUACCUCAGGACCUGCUGUGUACAUCCCCUUGCCUUGGGCCACCUCGGGGCCUGCUGUGCAUACUCCCUGCUUUGGGCCACCUCGGCUGCUGCCUAGCUGCUCCAUAGAUGUUCACCCCAGCAGCAGGUCCACUCGGCCUGUCCCAGGCCUCCCUCUCCCCUGCACUUAUCUGGAGGCUAUGACCAGAGCCAGCCCAGACAUGCCGUUCCCCUGCCUGAAACUGCUUUGCUCUCUCUUCAGAUCCCCAGUCUCUGAGUGUUAUUCAGAAGAUGCCAGAACCAUUCAGCCCUGAAUGAUGUGGUCCAUCUCUCUCGGGUCCUGUGGUUCCUUUCCCUUCCUUUCUGGUACCGGGGAUGGACCCAGGAGCAUUCUACCUCUGAGCGGCAUCCUGCCUUGCUGCGGCCUUGAAUUUGAAUCCUCCCGCCUCAGCCUGCGACUUGCUGGGAUCACAGGCGUGAGCCACCACGCCUGGCUGGUCCUGUGAUUCUGCCUGGCUUUUCCCAUUUCCUGGGCUUGGGGGCUGAGCAUCUGAAGUCUCACCUGCUGUGGAGUCACACCUGCCCACAGGGCUCAGGGAGGAAGCCACACGUGUGCAUGGCCCCCGGGAUGAGGAGCUGGCCCUGGAAGCCUCCUGUUCACUGUCCCUCCUGGUGCCUGCGUCCUUUGCCCUUCUGAGACUGUGAGUGCCUUAAAGGACCAGGAAUUCAUCUUACUCAUAGCUUGGAGCCUUGCUGAGCGCUCGUGGCUGGUGCCUGGCAGGGCACAUGUGCUGUCUCACACGGUGACUUACAUGCAGGCAGGGCCUGUCCACAGUCUCCCGGACUCCCAUGCAGCGUCCCUUUGCCUGGGACCCUGUGCUCCGGCCUGUGCUCGCCUUGCCCAACCCUGGAAUCCUGGCACGGAGCUGUGCGCCCUCAGUUGCUGGGAGAACAUGCACUUGGUGAUGUGGCCACACGAGAGGGGAAGACGUAAGACCAGGCCCCAGAAGCCAGCCCCCGCCGUCCCGGUCCUUCUGCCUCAGCGCCCUGGCUCCGUUGCUGGCUACGGGAAAUCCCCAUGAACCUUGUCAAAGCUGCUCCUCUGGUAGACUUCCUGGUGUCCCCACCUUGUGGUGGUCCCCACCUCGGUCUCCCUGUGCCAGCUGCCCCUGGGUCAGGAGGCUGGAAGAACCGGUUCCUGGGGAUGCUUCUGCUUCUCCAAGCUCAAGGGGAUCGAAGCCCCCUCCAGCCCCUGGACGAGGUCGCCUGUUGCUAGGCUGCUGUGGAUGAGCUGGAGGACGUGUGUGGGGUGACAGCCGUGCCCACACCUGCUCCCUGUUCUGGAGACCUCUCUCAGUGCAGGCAGCUAGGUGCAGAGGCUGCGCACACUCGACCCGGCACUUCUCAGGCACAGUCCCCGCGGGGGAGUCGGAGGUGUCGAGCAGGCUGGUCCUGUGUCCCCCUGCCCUCAGCAGAGAGAGCUGCUGCACCAGGAGCUCA